Molecule: transfer RNA, 72 nt
Filed under: Marmota monax (woodchuck)
Lineage: Eukaryota; Metazoa; Chordata; Mammalia; Rodentia; Sciuridae
Description: tRNA.Ala
Source: RNAcentral
GGGGUUGUGCCUCAAGUGGUAGAGUGCUCACCUAGCACAUGUGAGGCACUGGGAUCGAUCCUCAGCACCCCA